Molecule: ribosomal RNA, 462 nt
Filed under: uncultured bacterium
Lineage: Bacteria
Description: bacterial SSU rRNA
Rfam family: Bacterial small subunit ribosomal RNA
Source: RNAcentral
AUUGAACGCUGGCGGCAUGCCUUACACAUGCAAGUCGAACGGCAGCACGGGAGCAAUCCUGGUGGCGAGUGGCGAACGGGUGAGUAAUGCAUCGGAACGUGCCAUUGAGUGGGGGAUAACGUAGCGAAAGUUACGCUAAUACCGCAUAUUCUGUGCGCAGGAAAGCAGGGGAUCGCAAGACCUUGCGCUCUUUGAGCGGCCGAUGUCAGAUUAGCUAGUUGGUGAGGUAAAGGCUCACCAAGGCGACGAUCUGUAGCGGGUCUGAGAGGAUGAUCCGCCACACUGGGACUGAGACACGGCCCAGACUCCUACGGGAGGCAGCAGUGGGGAAUUUUGGACAAUGGGGGCAACCCUGAUCCAGCCAUGCCGCGUGAGUGAAGAAGGCCUCGGUUGUAAGCUCUUCGUCCGGACGAGUACGCACAGGUUAAUACCCUCGUGUGGAGUGACGGUACCGGACGUAAG